RNAcentral lists this ribosomal RNA (497 nucleotides) under uncultured bacterium. Its description in RNAcentral is "partial 16S ribosomal RNA". It matches the Rfam family "Bacterial small subunit ribosomal RNA", at positions 28 to 507 of the family's 1533-position model. The record is from RNAcentral.
GAUGAACGCUGGCGGCGUGCCUAAUACAUGCAAGUCGAGCGAAAAGACGAGGAGCUUGCUCCUCUGCCGUUAGCGGCGGACGGGUGAGUAACACGUGGAUAACAUACCUAUAAGACUGGGAUAACUUCGGGAAACCGGAGCUAAUACCGGAUAAUAUAUUGAACCGCAUGGUUCAAUAGUGAAAGACGGUUUUGCUGUUACUUAUAGAUGGUUCCGCGCCGCAUUAGCUAGUUGGUAAGGUAACGGCUCACCAAGGCGACGAUGCGUAGCCGACCUGAGAGGAUGAUCGGCCACACUGGAACUGAGACACGGUCCAGACUCCUACGGGAGGCAGCAGUAGGGAAUCUUCCGCAAUGGGCGAAAGCUUGACGGAGCAACGCCGCGUGAGUGAUGAAGGUCUUCGGAUCGUAAAACUCUUUUAUUAGGGAAGAACAAAUGUGUAAGUAACUAUGCACGUCUUGACGGUACCUAAUCAGAAAGCCACGGCUAACUACGUG